RNAcentral lists this ribosomal RNA (253 nucleotides) under uncultured bacterium. RNAcentral describes it as "partial 16S ribosomal RNA". It matches the Rfam family "Bacterial small subunit ribosomal RNA", at positions 524 to 776 of the family's 1533-position model. The record is from RNAcentral.
UACGUAGGGUGCGAGCGUUAAUCGGAAUUACUGGGCGUAAAGCGUGCGCAGGCGGUUCGUUAAGUCAGUUGUGAAAGCCCCGGGCUCAACCUGGGAAUUGCGGUUGAAACUGGCGAACUAGAAUCUGGCAGAGGGGGGUGGAAUUCCACGUGUAGCAGUGAAAUGCGUAGAGAUGUGGAGGAACACCGAUGGCGAAGGCAGCCCCCGGGGCUGAGAUUGACGCUCAGGCACGAAAGCGUGGGGAGCAAACAGG